RNAcentral lists this unclassified non-coding RNA (345 nucleotides) under soil metagenome. Its description in RNAcentral is "partial contains 5.8S ribosomal RNA, internal transcribed spacer 2, and large subunit ribosomal RNA". The stretch from base 1 to 120 matches the Rfam family "5.8S ribosomal RNA", at positions 35 to 154 of the family's 154-position model. The record is from RNAcentral.
GAUGAAGAACGCAGCGAAAUGCGAUAAGUAAUGUGAAUUGCAGAAUUUAGUGAAUCAUCGAAUGUUUGAACGCACAUUGCGCCCCCUGGUAUUCCGGGGGGCAUGCCUGUCCGAGCGUCAUUGCUGCCCUCAAGCACGGCUUGUGUGUUGGGCCUCCGUCCUCCUCCCGGGGGACGGGCCCGAAAGGCAGCGGCGGCACCGCGUCCGGUCCUCGAGCGUAUGGGGCUUCGUCACCCGCUCUUGUAGGCCCGGCCGGCGCUUGCCGACACAUCAAUCUUUUUUCCAGGUUGACCUCGGAUCAGGUAGGGAUACCCGCUGAACUUAAGCAUAUCAAUAAGCGGAGGA